GCGGGAGGGAGAGCCAGAGAAGGAGCAGGAGGAGGGGCCACAGGAGACGCAGUUUGUGGACACUGGAGGGCUCACUCGGGAGCUGGGAGACCUGUUCUCCAAAUUGAAGGCUGAUCUGAGAGCAGCAGCUGAACAGAGGAGGGGCUUUCAGGAGGCCGUCGGGCAGCUGCAGGAGGUGCUGAGGGAGGUGGUGAGCAGCACUGUGGCCACAGAGGAGGAGAUCCAGAGGAGGCUAUGCACCCACGAGGAGCCCAGGGGGAGCUGUGGAGAGGAGGCGAGGGCGGUGCUUCCGGACCCCGCCCCGUGGUCGGUUCUGACGGACGGUGGUCUGAGCCGGUCUCAGAGGCUCUCAGAGGGCCUGUUCUCCGGGCCGAGGCAGGAGGGG
This is a long non-coding RNA of Conger conger (European conger), 385 nucleotides long. RefSeq lists it as uncharacterized. The record is from RefSeq and is a predicted model, not a curated record. NCBI's taxonomy places the organism in Eukaryota, Metazoa, Chordata, Actinopteri, Anguilliformes, Congridae. The transcript has 3 exons.